RNAcentral lists this ribosomal RNA (253 nucleotides) under uncultured microorganism. RNAcentral's name for it is "partial 16S ribosomal RNA". It matches the Rfam family "Bacterial small subunit ribosomal RNA", at positions 524 to 776 of the family's 1533-position model. The record is from RNAcentral.
UACGUAGGGUGCGAGCGUUGUCCGGAAUUACUGGGCGUAAAGAGCGCGUAGGCGGCUGGAUAAGUCGGCUGUGAAAGACGUGGGCUCAACUCACGGAUUGCGGUUGAUACUGUCUGGCUAGAGUGCGGGAGAGGGAAGUGGAAUUCCCGGUGUAGCAGUGAAAUGCGUAGAGAUCAGGAGGAACACCGAUGGCGAAGGCAGCCCCCUGGGCCUGUACUGACGCUCAUGCACGAAAGCGUGGGGAGCAAACAGG